Molecule: ribosomal RNA, 330 nt
Filed under: Geobacter sp. enrichment culture clone YFZ8
Lineage: Bacteria; Pseudomonadati; Thermodesulfobacteriota; Desulfuromonadia; Geobacterales; Geobacteraceae
Description: bacterial SSU rRNA
Rfam family: Bacterial small subunit ribosomal RNA
Source: RNAcentral
CUACGGGAGGCAGCAGUGGGGAAUUUUGCGCAAUGGGCGAAAGCCUGACGCAGCAACGCCGCGUGAGUGAUGAAGGCCCUCGGGUCGUAAAGCUCUGUCGGGAGGGAAGAAGUGAUUGAGGGUUAAUACCCCUUGAUCUGACGGUACUCCGAAGAGACCGUCCCCCUACGGGAGGCAGCAGUGGGGAAUUUUGCGCAAUGGGCGAAAGCCUGACGCAGCAACGCCGCGUGAGUGAUGAAGGCCCUCGGGUCGUAAAGCUCUGUCGGGAGGGAAGAAGUGAUUGAGGGUUAAUACCCCUUGAUCUGACGGUACUCCGAAGAGACCGUCCCC